Molecule: long non-coding RNA, 679 nt
Organism: Aedes aegypti (yellow fever mosquito)
Lineage: Eukaryota; Metazoa; Arthropoda; Insecta; Diptera; Culicidae
Exons: 3
Source: RefSeq, a predicted model, not a curated record
UUGUGUGCGGUCGGUUACAGAGAAAAUGCGAUGCAGAGAAAAUGUUUUCAUCUUCCUGGAAAGGGGCUGCAAAAUGUAAGACGCGAAUCGCGAGCGAGUUCAGUUGAGUAGCUCUGCAACAAUGGUGGAUUACUUUGCGAUGCACCUACUUACUGCUGCUCAGCGACGACACGAAAGCCCUCUCUCCCUGUCUGGUGCCUGUAAAUAAUUGUAAACCGAAGAAAAUAAUGGUGUACAGUGCAGCAAAAUUGAACGAAAAAUUGCAAGCUGCUUUAUGCAAUGGAAUUUGUUGAUUGAUGUGUACCUAUGUGUAAAAAUACCUAUGUGUUAUUGAAUUACCGACUGCAGUUCGAAGCUGAAUGUUUUGAGGACCCUCUAACUAAGGACUAUUAGAACCACUCAGGAACGCUAGCGAAGAAUACAUACGUGAAACAAUCGAGGCAAUUUCGCACCAAGAGAUCCAGGAAUUCCGUAACCAAUUGCUUCCAAUUGAGAUCACCUAGAAAAAGUGUAAAGUUUGAUAUCCCAAGGGAUGUGGUGUUAACAAGAUGAAGUUGGGAAAAAUGAUUUGCUAUGGGGUGGUGAUAGUAUGCAAUGAGCAAUUGCCUCGACCGGUGGUGGUCAUCAGAAGUGAAGCAUUGUUUUAUUACUAAAUUGUCACCGGUGAUAAUCGUGAGCU